UUUUUAUAUCUUCACUAAAUUAAAUCCUUUCUUACUAAAACUUAGGUUCAUUUAUUAGUGAUAGUCUUAUCAAGACUUUCUUUUUUUAAUACUGUUUAUACAGGACUGUAGGUAUUACAAUUAAUAUUUACACACAGAUUCUACAAUUGGGACCUUUAUCGUGGCAUGUACUCCUCUGAAGCGCUGCCCAAAUUCUUCAAACCCUCUCAAAUAUUCGAGAGCUGUCCACUCUACUCACAUUUCGUGAGGAAUAGACUGGCUCCACUCAAUUAUGUGAUAAUUGAGGAAUGAUUGUAAAUAAGUCCCAUAAAUACUUUUAUGGAGGCUCGAACCCUUGCACUCAUUAUUCUAAGUGCAAGGGCUCUCCCACUGGACCAAAGGCCCAUUGGUUAGUCUUAUCAAGACUUCAAUCUUAAGUUCAAGUCUCAUGUAGUGUGCGUAUGUGUUUAAUUAAUAAAACAAAUUACGCCAUAUAUAUUUCUUCCAAUUUUGCAAGGCUUACAAAGACUGAAAAGACAUUGAAAUAACAUAACGAAAAUACCCAAACUUUAUUCUGUUUCUUGUUACUUAUUAGUCUCCACUCUCCAGUAGACCUGCCACUUUACAAAAUAUACAUUUUGUCAAUAUAUGAAAUAAAAGAUUGAUUAAUCUUUAAAACAAGCUUUGGGAAAAAUAUUUACUUCUUUUGAGAUGUUCUGGCAUCGGGUGCACGAGCAUUAACAUCAUACAAUCUAGGGAAAAGGACAUUCAACCCCCCAAUGUUUAGGAAAAGAGACAAAAAAUCCCUCAACAUUUCAAAAAGGACUUAUAACUCCAUUUCCGUUAAUAAACACCAUUUGUUUUAACAGUAAAUUUAUUUUUAAUUUUUAAUUACUAUUAUACCCUUA
RNAcentral lists this long non-coding RNA (887 nucleotides) under Citrus x clementina. RNAcentral describes it as "Citrus clementina (C. clementina) long non-coding RNA (CCLE_LNC005569)". The record is from RNAcentral. Lineage: Eukaryota; Viridiplantae; Streptophyta; Magnoliopsida; Sapindales; Rutaceae.